This 484-nucleotide ribosomal RNA is filed under the name uncultured bacterium. RNAcentral describes it as "partial 16S ribosomal RNA". It matches the Rfam family "Bacterial small subunit ribosomal RNA", at positions 30 to 507 of the family's 1533-position model. The record is from RNAcentral.
AUUGAACGCUGGCGGCAGGCCUAACACAUGCAAGUCGAGCGGAUGAAGGGAGCUUGCUCCUGGAUUCAGCGGCGGACGGGGGAGUAAUGCCUAGGAAUCUGCCUGGUAGUGGGGGAUAACGUCCGGAAACGGGCGCUAAUACCGCAUACGUCCUGAGGGAGAAAGUGGGUGGUCUUCGGACCUCUCGCUCUCAGAUGAGCCUAGGUCGGAUUAGCUAGUUUGUGGGGUAAAGACCUACUAAGGCGACGAUCCGUAACUGGUCUGAGAGGAUGAUCAGUCACACUGGAACUGAGACACGGUCAAGACUCCUACGGGAGGCAGCAGUGGGGAAUAUUGGACAAUGGGCGAAAGCCUGAUCCAGCCAUGCCGAGUGUGUGAAGAAGGUCUUCGGAUUGUAAAGCACGUUAAGUUGGGAGGAAGGGCAGUAAGUUAAUACCUUGCUGUUUUGACGUUACCAACAGAAUAAGCACCGGCUAACUUCGUG